Dermacentor albipictus is the source of this 466-nucleotide long non-coding RNA. RefSeq lists it as uncharacterized. NCBI's taxonomy places the organism in Eukaryota, Metazoa, Arthropoda, Arachnida, Ixodida, Ixodidae. The record is from RefSeq and is a predicted model, not a curated record.
GUCACGUCCAAGCAGAAGGCCAGUCAGCCGUCAGCGUUUCGCGCGUUUUCUGUAUUUACCGCAGCAGAGUUUGCAGCGACCUCCGUUGUGGUAUUUUGUUCCUCGGAGGCAUGCCCUCGGAAUCGGAAAAAGGAGGUGAUCAAUAUGCAGUCGUCAAGUUUCCAGAGGAAGGCAACUCUGUGGCUCUUGUACAUACCAAGUGGCUGCAUGGCGAUGUCUGCUUGUGGCCACAGGAUUCCAAGAAUGUUUCGUAUUUAGCAAAAUGUGGAGCCUCUCCAUCCUCCAGCUGGCAAGUCGUGCCAUGUGUGCCCAUAGACACAUUCAGAACAUAUGAUGCAGCGCGACAAAAGCUCAAGCAAGCUGAAGAUGGGUCAGACUUGGGGAGUGAAGUGGACCUGGGACGGGGCAAAAGAAAAAAGCAACGAAGGGCCCUUAGCUCAAGUCCGGAAAGUGUGCAGCGACUACC